This 428-nucleotide ribosomal RNA is filed under the name uncultured bacterium. Its description in RNAcentral is "bacterial SSU rRNA". It matches the Rfam family "Bacterial small subunit ribosomal RNA", at positions 355 to 776 of the family's 1533-position model. The record is from RNAcentral.
UGGGGAAUCUUGCGCAAUGGGCGAAAGCCUGACGCAGCGACGCCGCGUGGGGGAAGAAGGCCUUAGGGUUGUAAACCUCUUUCAGUAGGGACGAAGCCACUCGGGUUAAUAGCCCAGAGGGUGACGGUACCUACAGAAGAAGCCCCGGCUAACUACGUGCCAGCAGCCGCGGUAAUACGUAGGGGGCAAGCGUUGUCCGGAUUUAUUGGGCGUAAAGAGCGUGUAGGCGGCCAGAUAGGUCUGUUGUGAAAACUGGAGGCUUAACCUUCAGAGGUCGAUGGAAACCAUCUGGCUAGAGUCCGGAAGAGGAGAAUGGAAUUCCUGGUGUAGCGGUGAAAUGCGCAGAUAUCAGGAAGAACACCCGUGGCGAAGGCGGUUCUCUGGGACGGUACUGACGCUGAGACGCGAAAGCGUGGGGAGCGAACAGG